CCAGGAAGGAUUUGCUUGUGUGAAAUGUGUUCUCUUCUAAAGAUCAAAAGAGUAGAGCUGAUCCACUCACGAUGAAUUGUGACUUGUGCAUUCUUCUCUCCUACAUGUUGCGCAUGCUCUGUCAAUAUGAUUCAAAGCUUGCCGAACAGUAUGGAACCGGAAACAAAGUACCUGUCACUCUUGAUCAAAGACCCCUGGAAACCAAACAGAACACACUCAACGGAAAUGUAGAAAAGUUCAAAUGGAGCUAUGGGGGAUC
This is a long non-coding RNA of Saccostrea cuccullata (small rock oyster), 259 nucleotides long. RefSeq lists it as uncharacterized. The record is from RefSeq and is a predicted model, not a curated record. The transcript is spliced from 3 exons. NCBI's taxonomy places the organism in Eukaryota, Metazoa, Mollusca, Bivalvia, Ostreida, Ostreidae.